AUGGAUCUUAGAGCUGCGAAGGUUGCUAACAAAAUCUUUAGCAUCCAGCAGAAUGCUUUCAUUAAGGGGAGACACAUUGUGGAUGGCAUUCUAUCCUUGCAUGAGGUACUGCACUAUACUCAUAUAAAAAAGGAUGUGGGAGUAAUAUUUAAGAUUGACUUUGAGAAAGCUUAUGACAAAGUCAACUGGGAGUUCCUACUGGAUUGUCAUGUUAAACGGGGUUUUAACUCAAAAUGGUGCGGGUGGGUGUCUCAAAUCCUUAGGAAUGGCACGGUUAGUGUUAAGAUCAAUGAUGAGAUAGGACCCUAUAUCCAGAGCGCUAAGGGGGUGAGACAAGGUGACCCACAUUCUCCGUUCCUUUUUAAUCUUGCG
Molecule: ribosomal RNA, 372 nt
Filed under: Triticum aestivum (bread wheat)
Lineage: Eukaryota; Viridiplantae; Streptophyta; Magnoliopsida; Poales; Poaceae
Description: partial small subunit ribosomal RNA
Source: RNAcentral